Molecule: ribosomal RNA, 459 nt
Filed under: uncultured bacterium
Lineage: Bacteria
Description: partial 16S ribosomal RNA
Rfam family: Bacterial small subunit ribosomal RNA
Source: RNAcentral
AACGAACGCUGGCGGCAGGCCUAACACAUGCAAGUCGAACGUGAAGCCACCUUCGGGUGGUGGAAAGUGGCAGACGGGUGAGUAACGCGUGGGAACGUGCCUUUCGGUUCGGAAUAACCCAGGGAAACUUGGGCUAAUACCGGAUACGCCCUUCGGGGGAAAGAUUUAUCGUCGAAAGAUCGGCCCGCGUCGGAUUAGCUAGUUGGUAGGGUAAUGGCCUACCAAGGCGACGAUCCGUAGCUGGCCUGAGAGGAUGACCAGCCACACUGGGACUGAGACACGGCCCAGACUCCUACGGGAGGCAGCAGUGGGGAAUAUUGGACAAUGGGCGGAAGCCUGAUCCAGCCAUGCCGCGUGGGUGAAGAAGGCCCUAGGGUUGUAAACCCCUUUCAGCGGGGAAGAUAAUGACGGUACCCGCAGAAGAAGCCCCGGCUAACUCCGUGCCAGCCGCCGCAGUAA